UACGUAGGGUGCGAGCGUUGUCCGGAAUUACUGGGCGUAAAGAGCUCGUAGGUGGUUUGUCGCGUUGUUCGUGAAAACUCACAGCUUAACUGUGGGCGUGCGGGCGAUACGGGCAGGCUGGAGUACUGCAGGGGAGACUGGAAUUCCUGGUGUAGCGGUGGAAUGCGCAGAUAUCAGGAGGAACACCGGUGGCGAAGGCGGGUCUCUGGGCAGUAACUGACGCUGAGGAGCGAAAGCGUGGGGAGCGAACAGG
RNAcentral lists this ribosomal RNA (253 nucleotides) under uncultured bacterium. RNAcentral describes it as "partial 16S ribosomal RNA". It matches the Rfam family "Bacterial small subunit ribosomal RNA", at positions 524 to 776 of the family's 1533-position model. The record is from RNAcentral.